Amphimedon queenslandica is the source of this 450-nucleotide long non-coding RNA. RefSeq lists it as uncharacterized. The transcript is spliced from 4 exons. The record is from RefSeq and is a predicted model, not a curated record. Lineage: Eukaryota; Metazoa; Porifera; Demospongiae; Haplosclerida; Niphatidae.
CUUUACUAAUAUCCUUCACAGUCUAAAGGAGUGACUGGUAGCUCAUACAGAAACAAUAAUAUUGAAUUACAACCUACUGAUCCUACUUAUGCUACUCCUACCACUGAAUAUACUCCAGCAGCUGCUUCUACUGUAAGGACACUACAAGGAGGAGAUGGACCACCUUCUUAUCCACCACCACCUCCAACUGGUCAGUACAGUGUUCUUAGAGCUAGUGAUGAUGAUGAAGUUCCUCCACCAGUACCAGCCUAUAAUCCUAAUGGAGGACAGGAAUACUCUGAACUGAGGAGAGAGGGAGAGAAGAAGAAUAAACAACAACAACAACAACGACAAGGAGCUGGUCCACUUUAUUCAACACUCAAUCAAGAUGAUGAUACUCCUCCUCCUGUCCCUCCUGCCUAUAAUCCUGAGGGAGUACAGGAAUACUCUGUAUUGAAGAGAGAGGGAGAG